UGGCAGUGUGGUUAGCUGGUUGUU
This 24-nucleotide non-coding RNA is filed under the name Drosophila erecta. RNAcentral also lists the same sequence under 4 other names. The record is from RNAcentral. Lineage: Eukaryota; Metazoa; Arthropoda; Insecta; Diptera; Drosophilidae.